UACGUAGGGCGCAAGCGUUGUCCGGAAUUAUUGGGCGUAAAGGGCGCGUAGGCGGCUCUGCACGUUCGUUGUGAAAUCGCCCGGCUCAACUGGGCGGGGUCAGCGGAUACGGCAGAGCUUGAGCAAGCUAGGGGGCAAUGGAAUUCCCGGUGUAGUGGUGGAAUGCGUAGAUAUCGGGAGGAACACCAGUGGCGAAGGCGGUUGCCUGGGGCUUUGCUGACGCUGAUGCGCGAAAGCGUGGGGAGCGAUCCGG
This 253-nucleotide ribosomal RNA is filed under the name uncultured bacterium. RNAcentral describes it as "partial 16S ribosomal RNA". It matches the Rfam family "Bacterial small subunit ribosomal RNA", at positions 524 to 776 of the family's 1533-position model. The record is from RNAcentral.